Equus asinus (donkey) is the source of this 2150-nucleotide long non-coding RNA. Lineage: Eukaryota; Metazoa; Chordata; Mammalia; Perissodactyla; Equidae. The record is from Ensembl.
GUGGAUCUGGCGCGGCCUCUCGCGAGCCUUAAAAGGAGCAGCAGGCGGCCGCCUUUCGCCAGCACCAGGAGGGAGGCCUGCGGGAACUACGCCACCCAGCGUGCAGCGGGCGCGCUCCCGGCAUGCGCGGCGGCCGUGUUCCCGCCGCCCCGCCGCCGCUCGCCGCUCGCCGCCCGCCGCCCGCCGCGGCGCUGCCCUCGGGCUCCGUCCCUCCUCCCGCCGCGGCCUUCGGGCUCCCGGAGCACCGGGGGGGCCGAUCGCGGAGUGGAUCCUAUCAAGACUCAGAUCAACAAAGUGGAUUCUAAAUUUCUUCAGCACUUUAUAUGCGGUUGUUUCCUUUAGUGAUCCCAGGACUCCAGGACUCCAGGACUCAACAGCAGUUUAUGCACAUGGCUGAGAUUUAUUACCGCAGGGGCUGGCCCCAUGGCUGAGUGGUUAAGUUCGCGCACUCCACUUUGGUGGCCCAGGGUUUCGCUGGUUUGGAUCCUGGGCGUGGACCUAGCACUGCUCAUCAAGCCAUGCUGAGGUGGCGUCCCACAUAGCACAACCAGAAGGACCUGCAACUAGAAUAUACAACUAUGUACUGGGGGCUUUGCGGAGAAGAGGAAAAAGAAAAAAAAAAGUAAGAUCUAUUACAGCAAAGGAUAGAGAACAAAAGAAACGGAAAAAGAAGCAUUGGUGAAGUCCAGAGAGGUUCAGCACAGGACUCCAAUGUCCUCUGUCUAAGCUACACAGGACUCGUCCUCUCUCUCUAGCAGCAAACUACAGCAGGGUCACGCGUUAGGCCAUUCGCAUAACCGUAGAGUGGGAUUCCUACCCUCACUGGUGAGUGAAGAGGAGGCAGUUAAAACAAACAGCAAUGGAAAGUGGAGGAGAAAUCCCAGAAAGGAGAAGACCACAGAGAGGGAGCCUUAAAGCCUGUGUAGAAACUGCCCAGAUCUCUAGCUAACCCCUAAACUACACACAUGCAGGGUGGACUCUAAGCCCAGAUAAAGUGAACUGCACUGAGCUUGAGUUUAGCUAAGUUAACUGCCUGCUGAAACAAAAAAUCGCUGCUCCUUAGAGAAGCAUAUCAGAACUGAGCAUCUCUUGAAGUAGAUCAUUCACGAUGUCCAGGAUUGUAGCUAAAGUUACUACACAUGUGGAGAAAAUGUGACCCAAAAGUCAAUCAAGGGAGACCAGCCCCAAGAUGAGCCAGAUGUUGGAAUUAGAGACAAGGAUUUUAAAGCAGCUGUCAUAACUGUGCUUAAGGACUUUAAAGAAAAUUUACUCAUAAUGAAUGAAAAUAUAGGAAAUCUCAGAAGAGAAAAGAAAUUUUAAAAGAACUAAAAGGUAAUUCUGGAACUGAAAAGUACAACAUCUGAAAUAAAAUUUUCACUGGGUAGCCUUAAGAUCAGAGUGGAAAUACUAGAAGAAAGUGUCUGUGAAUUUGAAGGUAGAUCAACAGAAAUUGUUCAGAGAGGAAAAAGCCUGUAAAAUAAAAUAACGAAGAGUACCUCAGGGACCUAUAAGAUAAUACAAAAAAAAUCUAACAUGUGGGGUUCCAGAAGGAAAAGAGAAUGGGGCAUAAAAAAUUUUUGAAGAAAUAUGGCUGAAAUUUCCCCAAAUUUGGUGAAAAGUAUAAAUUACUAGAUUCAAGAAGCUUGUUGAAUCACACCUAGGUACAGUCGAAUGGCUGAAAAUCAAAAGCAAAGAGGAAAUUUUGAAAGUAGCCAAAGAAAAUGUUAUAGGAAGGGAACAAAGAUUUGAAAUACUACUGACUUAGCAGAAUCAAGUGAAAUGACAUCUUUAAAGUGCUAAAAGAAAAAAUAUCCUUCAAGAUGAAAUUAAAUGAAAAUAUUCCUCAAGAAUGAAGGCAAAGUAAAGAUGUUUUCAUUUAAAAGAAAACUAAGAGAAUUUGUCACCAGCAGACCUGUACUGCAAAAAAUGUUAAGUGAAGUUCCUUAGAUAGAAGGGAAAUAAUGCUGGACGGGAACUUGGAUGUUCAAGAAGGAAUGAAGAGCACCAGAAAAGUACUUAUAAAAGGUGGAGGAAGAGGAUCAUGAGCCAAGGAAUGCUAGCAGCCUGCGGAAGCUGGAAGAGGAUGCAGACUCUCCCUCGGAGCCUCCAGAAAUGAGUGCCCAGCUGCCAAAGCCUUGAUCUAAGCCCAG